GAUCCUGGCUCAGGAUGAACGCUGGCGGCGUGCUUAACACAUGCAAGUCGAACGAAGAUGCCGGAGUGCUUGCACUUUGGCAGACUGAGUGGCGGACGGGUGAGUAACGCGUGGGUAACCUGCCUUAUACAGGGGGAUAACAGUUGGAAACGACUGCUAAUACCGCAUAAGCGCACGGUAUCGCAUGAUACAGUGUGAAAAACUCCGGUGGUAUAAGAUGGACCCGCGUCUGAUUAGCUUGUUGGUGAGGUAACGGCCCACCAAGGCGACGAUCAGUAGCCGGCCUGAGAGGGUGAACGGCCACAUUGGGACUGAGACACGGCCCAAACUCCUACGGGAGGCAGCAGUGGGGAAUAUUGCACAAUGGGGGAAACCCUGAUGCAGCGACGCCGCGUGAGUGAUGAAGUAUUUCGGUAUGUAAAACUCUAUCAGCAGGGAAGAUAAUGACGGUACCUGACUAAGAAGCACCGGCUAAAUACGUG
Molecule: ribosomal RNA, 482 nt
Filed under: uncultured bacterium
Lineage: Bacteria
Description: bacterial SSU rRNA
Rfam family: Bacterial small subunit ribosomal RNA
Source: RNAcentral